GUCCACGCCGUAAACGAUGAGUGCUAGGUGUCACGGGCUUUGACCCUCGUGGUGCCGCAGCUAACGCGUUAAGCACUCCGCCUGGGGAGUACGGCCGCAAGGCUAAAACUCAAAGGAAUUGACGGGGGCCCGCACAAGCGGUGGAGCAUGUUGUUCAAUUCGACGCAACGCGAAGAACCUUACCUGGGCUAGAAAGUACAGGAAUUCGGGCGAAAGUUCGAAGUGCCCUUCGGGGAACCUGUAGUUAGGUGCUGCAUGGCUGUCGU
RNAcentral lists this ribosomal RNA (266 nucleotides) under uncultured bacterium. RNAcentral's name for it is "partial 16S ribosomal RNA". It matches the Rfam family "Bacterial small subunit ribosomal RNA", at positions 793 to 1055 of the family's 1533-position model. The record is from RNAcentral.